GUCUCUUCGGGGACAUCCGAUAAAAUUGGAACAAUACAGAGAAGAUUAGCAUGGCCCUGUGCAAGGAUAACACGGGUACUGGUACGGUACCGGAUAUACGG
Lotus japonicus is the source of this 101-nucleotide small nuclear RNA. The record is from RefSeq and is a predicted model, not a curated record. NCBI's taxonomy places the organism in Eukaryota, Viridiplantae, Streptophyta, Magnoliopsida, Fabales, Fabaceae.